Molecule: long non-coding RNA, 3389 nt
Filed under: Echeneis naucrates (live sharksucker)
Lineage: Eukaryota; Metazoa; Chordata; Actinopteri; Carangiformes; Echeneidae
Description: lncRNA (ENSENLG00000003775.1)
Source: RNAcentral
CAAUAUCUGGGUUUCGUUUCCACUGGUGUGGAAAAGAGACAAACUGGUUCUAGAACAUUUUUCUAAGGAAACAAUAGUCAUGUAAUACAUAUAGCAGAGGCAAAUCAUCUCACAUCAAGAAAACAAAACAAAGAAUUAACUUCACUCUUGUAGCCAUUUUCAUUUGCUGAAAACUUAUGACACCGACGCCAGAAAGAAAUUUCAGCCAUGAAGAAGGAAAUAAGAAAACUUUUUUCAUCAGGAAUUCUGGGAUAAUUAUCAAGAAAAUGUUGGACCUGGAGCUGAAUUUUUGCAACAUUUCAAAUUAUUGGAUGAUGCUAGUGGAUGAGGCCCUCCACAGCAUCUUUUUUUUGGGAGCAAUCAACGAACCGCCAUGUUCUCCACAAGAGAUUGUGGACAACGAAAGAUUGGCUGAGUUGAAAGACCGUUUCCCAAAACCUUUCACCUGCUACAACUCUCAAAUACCCAAGCGUUGUCCAAUGUCAUGCUUGCUAGAAAUGAUUGUUGAAGACAUUGGACAAGAGAAUGAAAGCAAAAUAAAGAAGGAGAUGCGGCUAAUCUGCAAUGAAUUGAUGAGCGAUCAUAAAAUGAAAAUUCUGUCCUCGUUCACCAUCUGUGUCUGUCAGAAGGACCUAAAUGACCCAAAUUCAGUCAGAUAUUAUGGCAUCUCCAUGUCCACUUUUAGCGGCAUUUCUGGGAAGAUCAUGGUGGCUGCCUCCUGCUUGGCGACCUGGCACAGUAAUGUUGCUGAUGCAGUCAUGACCUGUAUUCUGAGAGAGGAACAGGAACAGUUACAUGGAACAAUCACGAUUGAAGAGCAAGGGGAGCCCAAGAUGUCAUACUUUGAUGGUACCAUACAGCUUCCUCUGAAUGUAAGGUGCCAGGCUUAUAAGAUCAGCAAUGGAGAUGAACUCUCUCCUUGUGUGUCAUGUGUUGAAAUGUUUAAAUUUAACAUACCUGGAAAGGGUAAUUCAUCAUAUGGCAACUGUGCUGAAGUUGGGAGCCUGAGUAACCUGCUUAAACAUGAGGAACAUUUUAAAAAUGAAGUACAACAAAUAUCUCCCACAUGCACCCCUUCAAACAGAGAGAGGGCUAAAACCGAUGUUAUGAAACUGCUUAAAGAUUUACUUGGCAAAAUAAAAAACAGGUUUAAAUGGGAUGAUAAAUUCUAUACUCCUGAAAAUCAUUACCCCUUGGUAAAUGGCGAAAACUCAGAGUGAUCUCUUAGAUUCCAGAGAUACUUUUUGAAAAAGCUUUUUGCUAAGUUUAUAGGCCCAAGGUCAAUUAUUUGUUGACAUUUGCUGAUUUUUUUUUUAUUGUUGCUCUGCAACACUUUGAGAUUGUUGAAAUGUAAAGUGCAAUACAAAUAAAGAUAUCACAUCUCUCCCGUUUUAGCCGCUCUUCACUGGCUGCCAGUAAAAUACAGAGUAGAAUUUAAAAUCCUUCUGUUAACACAGAAAGCUCUUAAUGGCCAAGCUCCAUCAUAUCUCAGAGAGCGCAUAGUUCCUCACUGUCCUAGCAGGCCACUCUGCUCUCCAGAUGAAGGUUUACUUGUGGUUCCUAGAGUCUCCAAGAGUAAAUCUGGAGGCAGAUCUUUCAGUUAUCAGGCUCCUCUUCUAUGGAACCAACUUCCAGUAUCCAAUAUCGGUCCGGGGGAGGACUCUUUAGCAAUUUUCAAGACCAGGCUUAAAACUUUUCUGUGUGACAGAGCUUAAGGUUAAAAAGUCAAAACUCCUUGCUGAUAUAGGCUUAGACUGCUGGGGGAAGCAUUGAAAACCUCUCUCUCUCUCUCCCUCCUUCCCCAUUGCAUGUCCCGACAUAACAACAACCAUGUUUCUCCGAAGUCCCUGUUUCUCCCAAAUUUAAGCAUGUGCAACUAUUUACUAACCAUGUUUUCCCAAAGUCUCUGUCUCUCCCAGUUUCUCUCCUCUCUCUCCCUGUCCCCAUCCUACAGGUGUUGAAUCGCUACACCCAUGUUCCUGCAACGCCUGCUGCUCCCAAAUCUUCGUGAACUCCAUUCAGCAUCAUUUCUAUGAACUUCAUUCAGCAUCAUACCUUCCUGCCCGACCCCACCCACCCUCCCACAUCCCAUCUCCCUCUCCCUCUCUCUCUCUCUCGCUCUCUCUCCCUCUCUCUCUCCCAAUCUCAACCCAACCGGUCGAGGCAGAUGGCCGUCCCCCCCCUGAGCCUGGUUCUGCCCAAGGUUUCUGCCUCUUAAAGGAAGUUUUUCCUUGCCACUGUUGCCAAGUGCUUGCUCAUCGGGGGAUCUGUUGGGUCUCUUUAAAUCAUUUUAUAAAGAGUUUGGUCUAGACCUGCUCUAUGGAACUUUGUUAUGAUUUGGCGCUAUUCAAAUAAAUCUAAUUUGAUUUGAUUGUGACUGGCAUUAUGUUGUGGCAAUUGUUCAGACACACUGUUGUUGUCAAUAUAACUAUGGAAGUCAUCCGUCUGUAAGCCCUGCAUGUCCAGUUUAAUUUUAUUUUUUAUUUAUUUUAUAUUCAUAUUCUGCUGGUCAGUGCUAAUUAACUAACACAAACCAACUUCUAAUACUAGAACUAACUUAGCUGGGCCAAGAAGAUCAUUGAGGCAUGUCCUUAGUUUGCAAGCUAAAGCAGUACGUCUGUAAGUCCAUGAACUGUAUCUUAUUUAAAAUAGUACAAAUUACAAGUUGUAUUGGAGUAUUCACUAGACUUCGCGCUCACAUAUAUAUAUAUAUAUAUAUAUAUAUAUAUAUAUAUAUAUAUAUAUAUACAUCAAAAGCAAAUGAACUCAGGCAAUUAUUAAAGAUAAUCAGCAGAAGAGCAGAAGUUUGAAACAUUUAGUAUGAAAUUGCUAUAGCUUGAAAUAUUAAGUCAAAAAAGGAGUUUAAAAAAUUGGUUACACUGUAUAUUAUUAUUUUCAGUAUAUUAUUUUCAGCCAUGUAUCCGUGAGGUGGCGGAGGGUUCUGAAGCCAAUCCCAGCUGACAUUCUGGACAUGGAUGGUUUUCUUUGCCAGUUUUCAUUUAACAUGAUGAAAAAAAACAUCAUCCCAAAGUUUCUUUCCUCAUACAGGUGGUUAAAUGUGUCAUUAUUGCAUGAGCUCUUCAGCCUCCGAUAAAACCAUAUAUAGAAAUAUCCUGCACACAAGACAAAGAAUGUCGUCUAGCACUAAACACAGGUUGGGUUCAUAACAAAAAGGGGGCGUAGUUAACUUCUUUCAGUUUCAUUUCUUUAGUUUCAACUUACGAUGGUGAGUAGUUGCUUUCAGGUUGUUUACAUUUUUGGAGUUUUAUAUCUUAGUAAAUAAAUUCUAUAUAGCUUAUUUCAUUAACAUGAGUGUGAAUUAUUUUUGUCUUGUAAUGUGUCUUCUAUUAUUUCUAAUGAUAUCAGACUUCUAGAGGAAAAAGAAAAAG